Phrynosoma platyrhinos (Desert horned lizard) is the source of this 72-nucleotide non-coding RNA. Lineage: Eukaryota; Metazoa; Chordata; Lepidosauria; Squamata; Phrynosomatidae. The record is from the annotation of a GenBank genome assembly.
GCCUGUAUGGUGUUGUGGUUUGAAUGUUGGACUAGGACUCUGGAGACCAGGGUUCGAAUCCAUGCUCAGCCA